Molecule: ribosomal RNA, 552 nt
Filed under: Acremoniella lutzi
Lineage: Eukaryota; Fungi; Ascomycota; Sordariomycetes; Microascales
Description: eukaryotic LSU rRNA
Rfam family: Eukaryotic large subunit ribosomal RNA
Source: RNAcentral
CUCAGUAACGGCGAGUGAAGCGGCAACAGCUCAAAUUUGAAAUCUUGGCGGCCUCUGGGCCGUCCGAGUUGUAAUUUGAAGAGGAUGCUUUUGGCGAGGCGCCUUCCGAGUGCCCUGGAACGGGACGCCACAGAGGGUGAGAGCCCCGUAUGGUUGGACGCCGAGCCUCUGUAAAGCUCCUUCGACGAGUCGAGUAGUUUGGGAAUGCUGCUCAAAAUGGGAGGUAAACCCCUUCUAAAGCUAAAUACUGGCCAGAGACCGAUAGCGCACAAGUAGAGUGAUCGAAAGAUGAAAAGCACUUUGAAAAGAGAGUUAAACAGCACGUGAAAUUGUUGAAAGGGAAGCGCUUGCGACCAGACUUGUGCCCGUCGAAUCAGCCGCCGCUCGUCGGCGGCGCACUUCGGCGGGCUCAGGCCAGCAUCAGUUCGCUGCAGGGGGGAGAAAGGCGAUGGGAAUGUGGCUCUUCGGAGUGUUAUAGCCCGCCGCGCAAUACCCCUCGGCGGACUGAGGACCGCGCAUCUGCAAGGAUGCUGGCGUAAUGGUCGUCAGCGA